Molecule: ribosomal RNA, 292 nt
Filed under: uncultured bacterium
Lineage: Bacteria
Description: partial 16S ribosomal RNA
Source: RNAcentral
GGACUACUGGGGUAUCUAAUCCUGUUUGCUCCCCACGCUUUCGCACCUCAGCGUCAAUACCUGUCCAGUGAGCCGCCUUCGCCACUGGUGUUCUUCCGAAUAUCUACGAAUUUCACCUCUACACUCGGAAUUCCACUCACCUCUCCAGGAUUCUAGCUACCUAGUUUCAAAGGCAAUUCCGGGGUUGAGCCCCGGGCUUUCACCCCUGACUUGAAUAGCCGCCUACGUGCGCUUUACGCCCAGUAAUUCCGAACAACGCUAGCUCCCUCCGUAUUACCGCGGCUGCUGGCAC